AGGUAGCGCCUCGUGAAUUCAUCUCCGGGGGUAGAGCACUGUUUCGGCAAGGGGGUCAUCCCGACUUACCAACCCGAUGCAAACUGCGAAUACCGGAGAAUGUUAUCACGGGAGACACACGGCGGGUGCUAACGUCCGUCGUGAAGAGGGAAACAACCCAGACCGCCAGCUAAGGUCCCAAAGUCAUGGUUAAGUGGGAAACGAUGUGGGAAGGCCCAGACAGCCAGGAUGUUGGCUUAGAAGCAGCCAUCAUUUAAAGAAAGCGUAAUAGCUCACUGGUCGAGUCGGCCUGCGCGGAAGAUGUAACGGGGCUAAACCAUGCACCGAAGCUGCGGCAGCGACGCUUAUGCGUUGUUGGGUAGGGGAGCGUUCUGUAAGCCUGUGAAGGUGUGCUGUGAGGCAUGCUGGAGGUAUCAGAAGUGCGAAUGCUGACAUAAGUAACGAUAAAGCGGGUGAAAAGCCCGCUCGCCGGAAGACCAAGGGUUCCUGUCCAACGUUAAUCGGGGCAGGGUGAGUCGACCCCUAAGGCGAGGCCGAAAGGCGUAGUCGAUGGGAAACAGGUUAAUAUUCCUGUACUUGGUGUUACUGCGAAGGGGGGACGGAGAAGGCUAUGUUGGCCGGGCGACGGUUGUCCCGGUUUAAGCGUGUAGGCUGGUUUUCCAGGCAAAUCCGGAAAAUCAAGGCUGAGGCGUGAUGACGAGGCACUACGGUGCUGAAGCAACAAAUGCCCUGCUUCCAGGAAAAGCCUCUAAGCAUCAGGUAACAUCAAAUCGUACCCCAAACCGACACAGGUGGUCAGGUAGAGAAUACCAAGGCGCUUGAGAGAACUCGGGUGAAGGAACUAGGCAAAAUGGUGCCGUAACUUCGGGAGAAGGCACGCUGAUAUGUAGGUGAAGUCCCUCGCGGAUGGAGCUGAAAUCAGUCGAAGAUACCAGCUGGCUGCAACUGUUUAUUAAAAACACAGCACUGUGCAAACACGAAAGUGGACGUAUACGGUGUGACGCCUGCCCGGUGCCGGAAGGUUAAUUGAUGGGGUCAGCGCAAGCGAAGCUCUUGAUCGAAGCCCCGGUAAACGGCGGCCGUAACUAUAACGGUCCUAAGGUAGCGAAAUUCCUUGUCGGGUAAGUUCCGACCUGCACGAAUGGCGUAAUGAUGGCCAGGCUGUCUCCACCCGAGACUCAGUGAAAUUGAACUCGCUGUGAAGAUGCAGUGUACCCGCGGCAAGACGGAAAGACCCCGUGAACCUUUACUAUAGCUUGACACUGAACAUUGAGCCUUGAUG
RNAcentral lists this ribosomal RNA (1282 nucleotides) under Escherichia coli. RNAcentral describes it as "partial 23S ribosomal RNA". It matches the Rfam family "Bacterial large subunit ribosomal RNA", at positions 872 to 2136 of the family's 2925-position model. The record is from RNAcentral. Lineage: Bacteria; Pseudomonadati; Pseudomonadota; Gammaproteobacteria; Enterobacterales; Enterobacteriaceae.